UACGGAGGAGGCAAGCGUUAUCCGGAAUUAUUGGGCGUAAAGCGUCCGCAGGUGGCACCUCAAGUCUGCUGUCAAAGACCGGGGCUUAACCCCAGAAAGGCAGUGGAAACUGAAGCGCUAGAGUGCAGUAGAGGUAGAGGGAAUUCCCGGUGUAGCGGUGAAAUGCGUAGAGAUCGGGAAGAACAUCGGUGGCGAAGGCGCUCUGCUGGACUGCAACUGACACUCAGGGACGAAAGCUAGGGGAGCGAAUGGG
RNAcentral lists this ribosomal RNA (253 nucleotides) under uncultured bacterium. RNAcentral describes it as "partial 16S ribosomal RNA". It matches the Rfam family "Bacterial small subunit ribosomal RNA", at positions 524 to 776 of the family's 1533-position model. The record is from RNAcentral.